This 492-nucleotide ribosomal RNA is filed under the name uncultured bacterium. Its description in RNAcentral is "partial 16S ribosomal RNA". It matches the Rfam family "Bacterial small subunit ribosomal RNA", at positions 29 to 507 of the family's 1533-position model. The record is from RNAcentral.
AGUGAACGCUGGCGGUAGGCCUAACACAUGCAAGUCGAACGGCAGCACAGUAAGAGCUUGCUCUUACGGGUGGCGAGUGGCGGACGGGUGAGGAAUACAUCGGAAUCUACUUUUUCGUGGGGGAUAACGUAGGGAAACUUACGCUAAUACCGCAUACGACCUACGGGUGAAAGCAGGGGAUCUUCGGACCUUGCGCGAUUGAAUGAGCCGAUGUCGGAUUAGCUAGUUGGCGGGGUAAAGGCCCACCAAGGCGACGAUCCGUAGCUGGUCUGAGAGGAUGAUCAGCCACACUGGAACUGAGACACGGUCCAGACUCCUACGGGAGGCAGCAGUGGGGAAUAUUGGACAAUGGGCGCAAGCCUGAUCCAGCCAUACCGCGUGGGUGAAGAAGGCCUUCGGGUUGUAAAGCCCUUUUGUUGGGAAAGAAAGGCAGCAGGUUAAUAUCCCGCUGUUCUGACGGUACCCAAAGAAUAAGCACCGGCUAACUUCGUG